Molecule: non-coding RNA, 168 nt
Filed under: Tepidanaerobacter acetatoxydans
Lineage: Bacteria; Bacillati; Bacillota; Clostridia; Thermosediminibacterales; Tepidanaerobacteraceae
Also listed under: 1 other name
Source: RNAcentral
UAAAUAUAUGUUUUGACAGGUGCCGCGAGGUUAAAAGGGAAUCAGGUGAAAGCCCUGAACGGUCCCGCCACUGUAAUCGGGGAUAAACUGCUAUACCACUGAGAAAUCGGGAAGGUGCAGGGAAUAUGAUCCGAGAGUCAGGAAACCUGCCUGUUGAUGAAGUACAAG